UACGUAGGGUGCGAGCGUUGUUCGGAUUUACUGGGCGUAAAGGGUGCGUAGGCGGAUUGUUAAGUCAGGGGUGAAAUCCCGAGGCUCAACCUCGGAACUGCCUUUGAUACUGGCGAUCUUGAGUCCGGGAGAGGUGAGUGGAACUGCGAGUGUAGAGGUGAAAUUCGUAGAUAUUCGCAAGAACACCGGUGGCGAAGGCGGCUCACUGGCCCGGAACUGACGCUGAGGCACGAAAGCGUGGGGAGCAAACAGG
RNAcentral lists this ribosomal RNA (253 nucleotides) under uncultured bacterium. RNAcentral describes it as "partial 16S ribosomal RNA". It matches the Rfam family "Bacterial small subunit ribosomal RNA", at positions 524 to 776 of the family's 1533-position model. The record is from RNAcentral.